AACGAACGCUGGCGGCAUGCCUAACACAUGCAAGUCGAACGAGACCUUCGGGUCUAGUGGCGCACGGGUGCGUAACGCGUGGGAACCUGCCCUUAGGUUCGGAAUAACUCCCCGAAAGGGGUGCUAAUACCGGAUAAUGUCUUCGGACCAAAGAUUUAUCGCCUUUGGAUGGGCCCGCGUUGGAUUAGCUAGUUGGUAGGGUAAAAGCCUACCAAGGCGACGAUCCAUAGCUGGUCUGAGAGGAUGAUCAGCCACACUUGGACUGAGACACGGCCCAGUCGCUGACGGAAGGCCGCAGUAGGGAAUAUGGGACGAUGAGCGAAAGCCUGAUCCAGCAGUGCCUCGUGAGUGAUGAAGGCCUUAGGGUUGUAAAGCUCUUUUAACCGGGAUGAGAGUGACAGUACCGGGGGAAUAAGCGCCGGCUAACUCCGUG
Molecule: ribosomal RNA, 433 nt
Filed under: uncultured bacterium
Lineage: Bacteria
Description: partial 16S ribosomal RNA
Rfam family: Bacterial small subunit ribosomal RNA
Source: RNAcentral